Molecule: non-coding RNA, 8657 nt
Organism: Peromyscus maniculatus bairdii (prairie deer mouse)
Lineage: Eukaryota; Metazoa; Chordata; Mammalia; Rodentia; Cricetidae
Source: RefSeq, a predicted model, not a curated record
GAUCUCAGGGUGUCCAUGGAAGUACAGAGAGUUGGAGGAGACUGUCUUGUGUGAAGGUCACAGCUGGGCAUAGCCUGGGAGGAAAGAAGGGAUGAGACAGAUGGACUUGAGAGCAGCCUGUGGAAAGCUGCCACCCUGGAUGGCGGCAUCUGAUAUCUCUCGGUCAUAGUGAAGUGUUCAUGGGCACUGAAAACACAUUUCUUGCAAUGAACUUUUGGUGAAAUGGUGUUCUGGAAUCCCUCUUGGCUGUCAGGACCUGGGAGUGUUGGCAGUUCCAUCAGGGCCAAAGACCUGUGGUAUGUGCUGCUCUUUUGCUGGUCAUGGGAAAUGCAGGUGAGGGGACAGAACAGUGGGAAAGAUAAGAGUCUGAAGUCAGCCUGAGAGGGUAACUGUGGUUGACUCCAAGCAUUAAGAGGCCAUGUUCCUUCUGUGGGACCCCACCAUUCUUCACAUAUAACUGUAGGAUUUUCAGAGCCAGUGAUCAUGCCAGGUAAAACAUGUCACUAGUCAGCCCUCCUGGACCUGGGUGAUCCCUCAGCUCCUGAUGCUGUUUUCUGUCCCAACCAGAAACUCAGUCAACUUGAGGAGACCUGUCACAGUCCACAAUUUUUCUUUCUACUCUGAAGAGAAGGCACUGAUUGGGGCAGGUGGGAUGCAUCCCCUAAUCCUUUCUGCUCUGACCUGCUGUCACUGUCUUGUUUGUGUAUGUUACCAGAAACAGCAGAGCAGUCAACAUCAUGAGUCACCCUUGAAGGGGAGGUCCCAGGCUGAAGCCACAGUCAACUGUAUACCAAGGUCCUUUCCUGUUGGUGGCUGGGCAGUCUGAACACAAAGUCUUGCUGUGUCAGUGAGGGCCGGGCCCUGGGCCUCUCUAACUUCUGCUGUAGUUGCUGUGUCUGAUGCUCCUGCUGCUGAAACCUAGGUCAUGGGUUUGAAAACUUGAGUUUCCAAUCUGAAACCAGGACAGUUCUAUGUCAGAGAGGACAAUGUCUAGAUUUGAAAUGGAAUAGCAGGUCUGCCCGUUAUUUCUAAUGUGAGAAAUCUGGGGAUCUGUGCUCUUCACAUCGGGUGCUUCAAGAUACUACACAAGAGAAUGAGGGAUUGCCUGUCAAAUGUGUGCUGCUUCCCUUGGGGUUUCAAUCCCAAAAGCCCAUCCUAUGUUCAACAACAAAGUGGGUCCCCUGGAAGAGGCAGGGUUCAAAGCCCAGUGAGGAAUUCGGUACGCAGUUCAACUGGACAGGCAGAGUGUGUCAAGACCUGUGGGGCCUGAUGUCACAUUGAAGAGGUCAACUGUGGGAGGCUGAGCUGGAUCCCAGGUCCUGCAUAUCCUGGGCACCCAGUCUAGAGGAGAUGUCUUCAAUAUCAUAGGACUCUCCACUGUGGCAUUCCGGGAGCAUGCCCUCAAGUGCAGUGUUUGCUUACAAAACAUCCAUCCGCUUUCCAAUCCUCAGUCUUUCAUAUCUGAGGAGGCUUGAGAAGGGGACUCUACUGAUUUUUUCAUGGUAGCCAUGUGACAUAGAUCCUUGCAUUUCCUGGGCAUUGUGUUCUCAAUUGUGGGAUCUCUCACCACAAAGGCAGGUGGUUUAUUGUUGCUGAGGUUCAUGCCUGACUAGAACAAGACUUGACUGGAAAAAGAAGGUCAAUUCUCUCACAUAAGCAAGAGAUGGAGAAGGGAUGUGAGGCCAUUGUGCACAGGGAAGAAAUGUCCAGAUGGAAUCUUAUGUGAUAAUCUGGUGCCUGACAGAGGGACUACAGUCAAGGCUCAAAGGGGGACACCUCGAGAUCUCCCUGCAGUUCACAUGGACAGAUAAGAAUGAACUUGACCUAUAUUCUGAUAGCACGGUGUGGGGCAUCAGCCAGGUCUGGACACUAGCAUAUGCAGAUUAAAGUCUGGAUGGUUAAUAUCUCCUGCUGCAUGUCCAGUCCAUGGGACACUGGGCAACUCAAAAGUUCAUUGUGAUUGCAGUGCCACAGGAGUCUCCAGAGGGAACUAACUCCAUUCUCAAGAGCAGAGGAUACUGGGAUAGCCAUCCAAAGCAUCUGAUGAUCAGGCAAGAAGCACUGAGGGUGUCUUUAGCUCUACAUGCCAAGAAGAAAAUAAACUCAUUCUCAUGGGGCACUCAUGCUGGCCCUUUUUCUCCUACCUUCCUCCAUGUAUUCUAUGUCAAUCACCCAGAAGACAUUUCCUUCCAACAGUCACAGUAGAACCUUGCUCCAGAUUUUGGGAAACUCAGUUGGGAUGGGUUUCUGGGCCUCUCAGUCCUCCCAUGACUUUAUGGACAUUUAUAAUGUGUGCAGUCUCUGGAAGGUCAUGUUUCAGCUGGGAUUGAGCUGGGACUUUGCCACCAUCUAAUGCAGAAGCCCUUGUGCCAAUAUGUGAUCCUGUUGACAAGGCUGUUCUGCUCUUCAAGCCAAUGGAAUGAUUCACCUGUCUCCAUAUAAACACAGCCCAGCAUGCCCUUACUUUGUGCUACUGUUAUUAUGGUGAUGCUACGAGAAAAAUGACUUUGACAGUAUGAAGUGGAUGGGAAGACUUUGUGAGGCCCAGCUGUACCUGGGAAGUAGACAGCGAAACCACCGAUCCCCCUUCAGAACUGCUUUCUAUUUGGUGAACUGGUACAGAAGCUCUGUCACAGAGAAGGCAACAGUUUCUCCCCGAAUCACCUUCAGCCUUCAUUCUGAGUCUUCUAGAUGGGAAGAACCUGGAGGAGGGUCUCUCCAGAUGUGUCAGAGGGCGUCCCUGUGACCUGGGUCACUGCAUCUCUUGGGAUUUUGUUCCAGGUGUGGGAUAUCUGACAGAGCUGGGCUCACAGUUCUAGCCACGCAGCAUGUUCCUCACUUCCUGGCAUGUGCCUGCUCCAGUUCCCCUGUAGUACCAUGGGAGCUGUUCUUCCUCCACAGCCCUGACCCCGUUCUUACCGACAAGGAAUGAGGGAGAAGACUGAGUCUGAGUUUUGAGCCCAGCUUCUGGGCUUCCUUUGUGCCAUGAUCUGAGCUGUUCUUUUGUCAGUUUUCAUUGGAUGGACACGGCUAUAUGACAGGCCCUCAGGAGAGAUCAGAUCCCAGGUUCAGUUAAGUUGUCUACAGGGAGCUGGCAGAGUCCAGGACAAUCAGGAAGAGAAAGGUGCUGAGAAACUCAGUCAACUUGAGGAGACCUGUCACAGUCCAGGAUUUUUCUUUCUACUCUGAAAUGAAGGCACUGAUUGGGGCAGGUUGGAUGCAUCCCCUAAUCCUUUCUGCUCUGACCUGCUGUCACUGUCCUCUUUGUGGAUGUCACCAGAAACAGCAGCGAAGUCAACAUCAUGAGUCACCCUUGAAGGGGAUGUCCCAGGCUGAAGCCACAGUCAACUGUGCACCAAGGUCCUUUCCUAUUGGUGGCUGGGCAGUCUGAACACAAUCUCUUGCUCUGUCAGUGAGGGCCCAUUCCCUGGGCCUCUCUAACUUCUGCUGUAGUUGCUGUGUCUGAUGCUCCUGCUGAAAAACCUAGGUCAAGGGUUUGAAAAUUUGAGUUUCCAACAUCAAACCAGGACAGUUCUAUGUCAGAGAGGACAAUGUCUAGAUUUCAAAUGUCAGACCAGGUCCACCCGUUAUUCCUAAUGUGAGAAAUCUGGGCAUCUGUGCUCUUCCCAUCAUCGGGUGCUUCAAGAGACUACACAAGAGAAUCAGGGAUUGCCUGUUAAGUGUGUGCUGCUUCCCUUGGGGUUUCAAUCACAAAAGCCUAUCCUAUGUUCAACAACAAAGCAGCUCCCCUGAAAGAGGCAGGAGGCAGAGCCCAGUGAGGAACUGGGCACGCAGGUAUGGGAGGAGGCAUAUGUGAUUUGCACUUUAUUUUCUCUUCCUUUGCAUCUGGAAAAUAAGAAAUGUGUAUGGUUAUUUUGUGGGGAUCAAUGGGAUGUUCAGAUGUAUUUCUACACUAGCUGUAUUAAACCCUGCCAUUUAGCAUACUUCCUCAGGAAGUAAUCCUGCUGGAACAUACUCAGGUAGUGUCCAAUGUAACUAAACUAGCAGUAGACAACAAAACACUGUGAUUGGAGUGGGGUGGGUGGGUAUUGGGAAAUUAUUAAGGCCAUUCCACAUAGUUAAAAGGAAGAUUUAUUUAGUGGGUAACUUACAAAUUAAGGGAUAGGUAGGUCGCAGGGUCUGGGGAAGGUUAUUGCAGUCCAGCGUUGUUCUCUUGAGCUCUGCUUGGUUAACCUCCACUGUUUUGGGUCCAGGAAGAGAGAGAGCACUGGCCCCUCUCGAUCUUGGGUCUCCAGGGUUUUCCCUUGUCCCUGCCUUGUAGGCGUGACAGUUGCCGAAGCCUCAAUGGGGGUUGGAACUUCCAGAUCAAAGCUGGAAUGGCUACACACUACAGGUGGGAAGUGUUGUGAUGUGGAACUGUUGUCCACAGGGAACAGAUGUUCAUAUAGAAGACUCUGCUUGGGGAUCUAGGGCCUGGCAGAGUGACUAUGGUCAAAGCUCAAAGGGCCACUUCAAUGUCCCCCUACCGUUCAACUGGACAGACAGAGUGUGUCAAGACCUGUGGGGCCUGAUGUCACAUUGAAGAGGCCAACUGUGGGAGGCUGAACUGGAUCCCAGUUUCUGCAUACCAUCCGCUCCCACCGGUCUAGAAGAGAUGUCUGCAAUAUCACAGGACUCCCCACCAUGGCAUCUAGGAACUCUCCCUCAAAAGGAAGUGGUUGCUUACAAAACAUCCAUCAAUUUCCAAUCCUCAGUCUUUCACAUCUAAGGUGCCUGGGGAGGGGACUCUACUAAUUUUUCACGGCAGCCAUGUGACCUAUGUCUUUGUAUUUCCUGGGCAUUGUGUUCUCUAUUAUGGGAACUCUGAUUACAAAGGCAGGUUGUUCAUUGUUGCUGAGGCUCAUGCCUGACUAGAACAAGACUCGACUGGAAUAGGAUCAAUUGUCCAGAUGGAAUCUAAUGUGAUGAUCUGGUGCCUGACAGAGGGAUAUGGAAAAGGCUCAAAGGGGACAUCUCAAGAUCUCCCUGCAGUUUACAUGGACAGACAAGAAAUACGGAGCUCUGACCUGUAUUCUGAUAGCACAGUGUGGGGCAUCAGCCAGGUCUUGUCACAAGCAUCUGCAGAUGAAAGUCUGGAUAGUCAGUGUCUCCUGCUGCAUGUCCAGUCCAUGGGACACUGGGCAACCCAAGAAGUCAAUGUGAUUGCAGUGCCACAGGUGUCUCCAUGGGGAACUAACUCCAUUCUCAAGAGCAGAGGACACUGGGAUAGCCAUCCAAAGCAUCUGAUUAUCAGGUGAGAAGUGCUGAGUGUGUCUUCAAGCCCUACAAGCAAAGAAGAAAAUGAACUCAUUUUCAUGGGGCACUAAUGCUGGCCCUUUCCAACCCCCAAUUCCAUGUACUCUAGGUCCAAUUACCCAGUUGAUAUUACCUUACAACAAUCACAGUAGAACCAUGCUCCAGAUUAUAAGAAAGAUUUUUGGGACAGGGUUCUGGACCUUUCUGUCCUUCCAUGUCUGUAUGGACAUUUAGAAUGUGUGCAGUAUCUGGAAGGUCCUGUGCCAGCUGUAGGCUGGGCUGAGCUGGGGCUUUGCCACCAUCUAAUGCAGAAGCCCUUGUACCAAUAUGUGAUCCUGUUGACAAGGCUCUUCUGCCUUUCAAGCCGACAGGCUGAUUCACCUGUCUCCAUAUAAACACAGCCCAGCAUGCCCUUACCUGGUGAUACUGUCACUAUGGUGACACUAAGACAAGAAGAACUUUGACAGUAGGAAGUGGGGUGGGAAGAUGUUGUGAAGCCCAGCUGUACCUGGGAAGUAUACAGCGAAACCACCGAUCCCCCUUCAGACCUGCUUUCUAUACUGGUGUCCUUGUACAGAAGCUCUGUCACAGAGAAGGCAACAAUUUCUCCCUGAAUCUCCUUCAGCCUUCUUUCUGAGUCUUCUAGAUGGGAAGAACCUGGAGUAGGGUCUCUCCAGAUGUGUCAGAGGGUGGCCCUGUGACCCGGGUCACUGCAUCUCUUGGGACUUUGUUCCAGGUGUGGGAUGUCUGACAGAGCUGGGCUCACAGCUCUAGGUAUGCAGCCUGUUCCUCACUUCCCGGCAUGUGCCUGCUCUAGUCUCCCUGUGGCAUCAUGGGAGUGGUUCUUCCUCCACAGCCCUGACCCCAUUCUUACCUACAAGGAGUGAGAGCGAAGACUGGGUCUGAGGUUUGAGCCCAGCUUCUGGGCUGCCUUUGUACCAUGAUCUGAGCUGUUCUUUUGUCAGUUGUCAUUGGAUGGACACGGCCAUGUGACAGGUGCUCAGGAGGGAUCAGAUCCCAGGAUCGGGAGUCUGGUGUUCAAGCCAACACAGGGAACUGGCAGAGGCCAGGACAAUCAGAAAGACAAAGGUGCUGAGGUAAGUCCACAUGAAAAGAGGUAAACAGAGUCACGGACCUCAGAGGGUGCAUGAAAAUACAGGGGUUCGAGGAGCCUGUCUUGUGUGAAGGUCACAGCUGGGUAGGGUUCGGGAGGAAAGAAGGAAUGAGAAGAGGGACUUGAGAGGAGCCAUGUGUCACCUGAGUAGAGGUCCUGUCUUUUCAGGCCUACAUGUUGUUCCUACAUUUGAGAAAUCUGGGGAUCUGUGCCUGUCAUCUGGAAGCUGCUGAUGACUUCUCUCAGUGGAUCGCUAGUGUGAGAGCAGCAUGGAGAUCCUCCCAGGCUUUCUUCUCUUUAUAACUGCUCCUCCUUGGACGGUCGAUGGUGGAGCAAUGCUCAGAGCUUCUUAGAGCGUUCCUUUGCUGUCAUCUGGCAUGUGCCAUGCACUGACAGAGAUUCCCUCACCACCUUGCUGGAACUCUACAGAGGAUUCUUACACUGUACUUGGAAAUCUGAGAAUUGGAGGGAUUCAGGCAGUGUGCCCCGGGUCCCUCAGAAUGAGUGGGGAGCCAGAGCUCGAUGAUAUUGUCAGACAGAGAGAACCAUCAGACAUCUGCCACCUGUUUUCCCUGAGUGGUCAGUGUGAUUAUCUGGAACAAGACUGCUCAGGUUCAUUUCCACUGGGAUGAUUUUGACUUACACUUCCGGGUUGUAGUCCAUUACACAGGGAAGUCAGGGCACAAACACAUAGCGGCUAGUCAUAUCAUAGCCACAGUGAAGAGCAGACAGAAAUACAUGCACACAAUUGAGCUUGCUUGCUUGUGUCCACUAGAGAUCCCAACUCCUGUGCAGACUGGGACCCAAGCCCAGGGAAUGGCCCUGCCCUGAAGAGUUGGUUCUGCCCAUAUGAAUUAAGACAAUCCAAUAGCUCCUCUAUAGUCACGCUCACAGGCUAUUCUCAAGUUGUGACACCCUUCCUUCCAUGAACGGGUAGCGACUUUCAGUCCUUGUUCCUACUAGUAGCCUAGGCUUGAGCAGAGUCAGUCGAUUUCAGCUCCAUCAUGGUGGGGAACCUAAUGGACAUGAAGCAGUGUCAGAACUUGCUGGAGAAGUCUGUGACUACUCUGGGGGAGUGGGAGCCUGGACCUUGGCCCACACAUGUGCUGUUCUCCUUCUUUGGAUGCCAGUCAGGACAACGAGAUCUCUGUCCCUCAGAAUUGACUUGGUUGUUGAUUUAGGGAAUCUCCAACAUAUCAGUCUAGUUCUCUGACUUUAGAUCAUAUUUAAUCUUAGUAUUCUAGAUGAUUUACCCCUGUUCUUUAUGCCCGGUUUACUUUACCACACUUUAUGUGGCUGUAAUAUUUAAGUAUGUAACGUUUUAGGACAUGGCUACCCCCAUUGGCAUGCUCAGAGCCUUUGCCCAGGGGUGCUCUUAUUUACCUGUGAGGAGAGCAAGCCAGGAACUUGUAUCCUUACUCAGGGAUGAGAACAAACUAAAUCUCAGAGCAUGACCUUCCACAGUGUGGUCCCUGAGCCUGGAAGCUCCUGGCUCCACUGUUCAAGCAUCUUUGUCUAUUCUGUGUUGGGACCUUUUCCAUCCCUUACUUGGUAGUGUCCACAGAGCCUUCUGUAGAAACUGGAGUCCAGAAAGCCCAGGGCAGGGUUUCCAGCAGGACCUUGACCCAUGUUGGUUCUCCUGGCUUUCAUCCCUGCCUUCGCCAAUCAAUGUUCUCAUGUCUGUCCUUAGAGCUCGUCUGCUCCCGUGCCCUGCACUCAGUGAGGAGGUUGGGAGCAAGUGUCAAAUGAAUGAAAUACAGGCUCUGGAUUCUCUCAGAAAGCCUGCUUCAGAACCCUGAGGCUUUGAGAAGCCAACAACCUGUUCAAGAACAAAUAUUCUCUGAGGCCAUGAAGACAAGGGCACACUAACAAAUCCACAUAGUCCUGUCUCCCAGAAGCCAGGUCAAGGUGUUGCUGUCAGAAGGGCAGGUGAUACGAGCCACUCAGAACUUCACUAUGAAACAGAGCCAAGACUCAGAUUACUUUUUCCACAGUUUUCCUCAGUCUCAUCUUAGAACUGAAGAUCACCCAGGACAUCUUCUUUUCCUUGAAGUAUGAAGAAUAGGGUUCUUAGUGUGUUCAGGACUGCCCGGGAAGCGGUGUCCAUGCCUGGAAGACAUCUGACCACCAGUUGGAAGGCACUCAAGUGACCCCAGAACGGUAAAAUUAAAAACCAUCCAAAGAUUCAACAGUACAAUGAGAGAGAAAAGAGCCUACAAGCUGAAUGAAUUCAGCCAAGUCCUGCAAUGCCCGAGGUCCACUGUUCUUUGCCAAGUGAGAGACCAUC